This 761-nucleotide long non-coding RNA is filed under the name Elaeis guineensis (African oil palm). RNAcentral's name for it is "long non-coding RNA (EGUI_LNC016237)". The record is from RNAcentral. Lineage: Eukaryota; Viridiplantae; Streptophyta; Magnoliopsida; Arecales; Arecaceae.
UAAAAAUACUCAAAAAUAUAUAGUUAUAUUAGAAUGGUUUACAAAAUUUCCAUCCAACGUCCGUCCGUCCACGUCGCUUCACCUCCAUCUCCCAACAAAAAAAAAAAAAAACCCAACAAACUCGAGUGAUGCUUUGAUUACCCUGGACAAAUGUAAAAACCCUACCUACAUGACCAACUUUAACAGCAUACUGACACCAUAACCUAACGGACACGAAGCAAGACUCUACGACCAUGGGAAGCAGUAUAAACUUAGUGAUGACUUGGAUCACCAAGGUGGUCUCUCAGCGAGUCCAAAGGAAGGCGCCCAUGGCGAAUUCCCUCUUCUGAGCGAGGUCACCGAACACGGGCAGCCCGUACUCCCUCAGAAGGCAGUCGACCUUCCACUCCGGCAUCGUCUCGUAGUCGGCCUUGGUGUAGCUCGGGUAGUGAAGGGGCAUCCGGAAGUACCCCACGCUUCUCUCCUUCCCACGAUGGCCCUGCCCGUUGGCCUCCCCCGGCUUCCUCCUCGUCACCCACUCCAUGCUUCUUCGCUCCUUCUCACCCUCUACUACUUCUCUCUUAGUUAUCUCCAUCUCUCUCUCUCUCUCUCUCUCCCUCUCCCUUCCUGUGAUCACUGUGGAGAUGGAAUUUCUUAUAUAGAGGGAGAGAAGGGUACUGGAAACCAAAACCCACUCGGAAUUUAGCGUUAUUAACGAGCGGGAAAAGGGUGGUUUCCGACUGCGCACAGGAUUUGUAUUCCCACAGGGACAAAAAUUUCCC